Rosa rugosa (rugosa rose) is the source of this 975-nucleotide long non-coding RNA. RefSeq lists it as uncharacterized. NCBI's taxonomy places the organism in Eukaryota, Viridiplantae, Streptophyta, Magnoliopsida, Rosales, Rosaceae. The transcript is spliced from 5 exons. The record is from RefSeq and is a predicted model, not a curated record.
CGAGAUUGGCAACGUUAGCCGCCGCCAAACAACUACGACGUCCAACUCCAGCGCGCGCCGCUCCUACUCCAUCGGAUCGUUCGACCACCUCGUCGACGACGACUCCGAGGUCCGAUUGUCCAAUGCCAGAAACGGCUCGUCUGAUAGGAAAGAAGAGGUGAUUGUUGUUCUCGGCGAGCUCCUGCCGCCGCUGCCGUCGGAGGCCAAUCUAGCCCACAAGUUUUUCUUCCCCCCAAUCUCAAUCCAGCCCGAGUGCAGCCUCCGACGGGGGUGCAAAUUAUAUUAUUAAAAAAUUAAAAUGGGGUGUGGUUUGCAAUUUUUAUCGAGCCAAACCGGAGAGAGAAACAAAUAUCAGUCUCCCUUCUCCAAAAUCUUUUCGAUUCAUCACUCUCUCUCUCUCUCGGUAUUGUAUUCGAUCCGAAAGUAAAACCUUCACAAUCUCCCCUCUUAGAUCUAUCCACCAAGCUAAGACCUACCUCUUGCCAAAAGAAAGCUAAGAUUUACCCACCGAGGUAUCUCAAUCCAUUUCUGCAAAUCUGAUGGUACAUCAGUCACCGACGCAUCUGAGUUAUAUGGAACCGUCUCCUCCAAUCCAUCUUCAGAAACUGACAACAUUGAGAAGAUUUCAUAUGGAGCAGAAGAGAAGCCAAUAUUGAAUUAGAGGAAGACUUCUAUCACGAAAGAUAUUCUUGGAGUACUGGACCAAGGUUGAAAAAGAAUCUUGAACAAGAAGCCUAAACGGCAAGAAACAAAGAUUGAGCAGAAUUCCCCCAACAAGAUACAGAAAUAUUGCAUCACUACAUCACUAGUGGAGAAAAUUGAAGGUUCAGAAGGAGCAAGCAAGGAGGGAAAAUGAUAAUCAUGGAGAAGCAUUUGUUGAAUUUGUAGUAGAAGUUGUAGCCAAAGCUGUAAAAGAAGCAGAAUAGAAGUACUGGCGACAUCUCUACAUUACACGGGGCCCACAGGUCUGAAUUU